This 467-nucleotide ribosomal RNA is filed under the name uncultured bacterium. RNAcentral's name for it is "partial 16S ribosomal RNA". It matches the Rfam family "Bacterial small subunit ribosomal RNA", at positions 28 to 507 of the family's 1533-position model. The record is from RNAcentral.
GACGAACGCUGGCGGCGUGCUUAACACAUGCAAGUCGAACGGAAAGGCCCUGCUUUUGUGGGUGCUCGAGUGGCGAACGGGUGAGUAACACGUGAGUAACCUGCCCUUGACUUUGGGAUAACUUCAGGAAACUGGGGCUAAUACCGGAUAGGAGCUCCUGCUGCAUGGUGGGGGUUGGAAAGUUUCGGCGGUUGGGGAUGGACUCGCGGCUUAUCAGCUUGUUGGUGGGGUAGUGGCUUACCAAGGCUUUGCCGGGUAGCCGGCCUGAGAGGGUGACCGGCCACAUUGGGACUGAGAUACGGCCCAGACUCCUACGGGAGGCAGCAGUGGGGAAUAUUGCACAAUGGGCGGAAGCCUGAUGCAGCAACGCCGCGUGCGGGAUGACGGCCUUCGGGUUGUAAACCGCUUUCGCCUGUGACGAAGCGUGAGUGACGGUAAUGGGUAAAGAAGCACCGGCUAACUACGUG